CACAGCUUUUUUAGUUGGUGCCACUCGACUCUUGAGAGAUUUUAGUUCCUCGAUUCGACACCGGCCCCACAACCCCAGAUCCCGCGAUCGAACCUUGCAGAUUCUGGCUGCACCAAUAAUGUGCCAAAAGGUCUCAAGGUUUCGGUCUCAUGGCCUGAACUUGGAGAUUUUGAGCCAAAAUAGAAGGCGGGACAACCCGAAGAAGAGACGACGGCCCAUAAAAACAAUCAUAAUUAGAGGCGGAUAUAGCGGUUGGACCAAGGAUCUAGAUUAUCCUCGCCCUUGAGCGUCUCGAUCUGAUCCAUGUUUUCCAAAGUGGGCUCGUGUUCUUCACUUGGUAUUGGCAUCAGGGAUCCCAAUUUGUCGAACGCGGUCUAUUGAGCCAAGCCUUCGGAAUUACUAUUCAAUGAGCUUCAGAAUCAUUGGGGAACGAAGUGUCGAAAGGAUAUACGCAAUAGAAGAUCAAAACCGUUGGAAGACCCAACGGCAUCCCAGUGUUUGAACGAA
Molecule: small RNA, 507 nt
Filed under: Histoplasma capsulatum
Lineage: Eukaryota; Fungi; Ascomycota; Eurotiomycetes; Onygenales; Ajellomycetaceae
Also listed under: 1 other name
Description: hypothetical RNA
Source: RNAcentral